AAGUCGUAACAAGGUUUCCGUAGGUGAACCUGCGGAAGGAUCAUUAAAAUACCGAUAAACACCACUGCUUUUGGCACUAAACACACAAACCUAUUUUUUUUAAUACUUUCUAAGCUUCACUUUUUGUGAAAUUUAAAUAAAAAAAGCAAAA
This 151-nucleotide unclassified non-coding RNA is filed under the name plant metagenome. Its description in RNAcentral is "partial contains small subunit ribosomal RNA and internal transcribed spacer 1". The stretch from base 1 to 46 matches the Rfam family "Eukaryotic small subunit ribosomal RNA", at positions 1786 to 1831 of the family's 1831-position model. The record is from RNAcentral.